Molecule: ribosomal RNA, 1150 nt
Filed under: Lactobacillus helveticus
Lineage: Bacteria; Bacillati; Bacillota; Bacilli; Lactobacillales; Lactobacillaceae
Description: bacterial SSU rRNA
Rfam family: Bacterial small subunit ribosomal RNA
Source: RNAcentral
GCAAUGGCGGGCGCUAUACAUGCAAGUCGAGCGAGCAGAACCAGCAGAUUUACUUCGGUAAUGAUGCUGGGGACGCGAGCGGCGGAUGGGUGAGUAACACGUGGGGAACCUGCCCCAUAGUCUGGGAUACCACUUGGAAACAGGUGCUAAUACCGGAUAAGAAAGCAGAUCGCAUGAUCAGCUUAUAAAAGACGGCGUAAGCUGUCGCUAUGGGAUGGCCCCGCGGUGCAUUAGCUAGUUGGCAGGGUAACGGCUUACCAAGGCAAUGAUGCAUAGCCGAGUUGAGAGACUGAUCGGCCACAUUGGGACUGAGACACGGCCCAAACUCCUACGGGAGGCAGCAGUAGGGAAUCUUCCACAAUGGACGCAAGUCUGAUGGAGCAACGCCGCGUGAGUGAAGAAGGUUUUCGGAUCGUAAAGCUCUGUUGUUGGUGAAGAAGGAUAGAGGUAGUAACUGGCCUUUAUUUGACGGUAAUCAACCAGAAAGUCACGGCUAACUACGUGCCAGCAGCCGCGGUAAUACGUAGGUGGCAAGCGUUGUCCGGAUUUAUUGGGCGUAAAGCGAGCGCAGGCGGAAGAAUAAGUCUGAUGUGAAAGCCCUCGGCUUAACCGAGGAACUGCAUCGGAAACUGUUUUUCUUGAGUGCAGAAGAGGAGAGUGGAACUCCAUGUGUAGCGGUGGAAUGCGUAGAUAUAUGGAAGAACACCAGUGGCGAAGGCGACUCUCUGGUCUGCAACUGACGCUGAGGCUCGAAAGCAUGGGUAGCGAACAGGAUUAGAUACCCUGGUAGUCCAUGCCGUAAACGAUGAGUGCUAAGUGUUGGGAGGUUUCCGCCUCUCAGUGCUGCAGCUAACGCAUUAAGCACUCCGCCUGGGGAGUACGACCGCAAGGUUGAAACUCAAAGGAAUUGACGGGGGCCCGCACAAGCGGUGGAGCAUGUGGUUUAAUUUCGAAGCAACGCGAAGAACCUUACCAGGUCUUGACAUCUAGUGCCAUCCUAAGAGAUUAGGAGUUCCCUUCGGGGACGCUAAGACAGGUGGUGCAUGGGCUGUCGUCAGCUCGUGUCGUGAGAUGUGGAUAGUCCCGCAAACGAGCGCAACCCUUAUUAUAGUUGCCAGCAUUAAGUUGGGCACCCCUAAUGAGGACUGCC